This 1122-nucleotide long non-coding RNA is filed under the name Homo sapiens (human). RNAcentral describes it as "HSALNT0193538". The record is from RNAcentral. Lineage: Eukaryota; Metazoa; Chordata; Mammalia; Primates; Hominidae.
AGUUCCUAUCAUUUUAAAAUAUUUAUCCCCAAAUGUAAUCCCUUCGAGUUUAUUAUUUAUAAUGUCAGUGGUUUUAUUUUUUAAAUAUUCUAGAUUCUUACAUUGAUUCUUUCUGAUUGACAAAUUCAUCCAUAUCAGAAUUUUAAGUGUUAACACAAGCCCUCAAGCAAGGCUGCUGAAGAAUUUGCAUACUUUUCUAUGUUCCAAACUUGAAAUUUCCAAAGUUUUUAAUGCAUUACUUUAGACCCAAGAGAAAGGUACAACAUUUUCCCCUCUUGCUCAGUGUAAAGCUGAAACUAUUUAAAAAAAAUUUUUUUUUGAGAUGGAGUUAUGCUCUGUCACCCAGGCUGGAGUACAGUGGUGCAAUCUCAGCUCAUUGCAACCUCCGCCUCUCAGGUUCAAGCAAUUCUCCUGCCUCAGCUUCCUGAGUAGCUGGGAUUAUAGGUACAUGCCACCAUACCUGGCUGAUUUUUCUAUAUUUAGUAGAGACGAGGUUUCACUAUGUUGGCUAGGCUGGUCUUGAACUCCUGACCUCAGGUGAUCCACCUGCCUCGGCCCCCCAAAGUGCUGGGAUUACAGACGUGAGCCACCAUGCCUGGCCUGAAACUAUUUUCUAAUCUUAAAUUCAGAUUCUGGGCUUAGUCAGAUAGGAGUUUCCCUGAGCUGUCAUCAUUCCCGGCUGAAGUUAUUACAAUAAUCAGUUUCCAUCACUGACCCAGAAAAUCACUGAAGUUACCAAUUUUCUGUUAGACUCAAACAGAAAGAAGGUGACCAAGCCACUGAUUAUAAAGCUACUUUGAUUAGAGGAGAAUAUAAAAUUUCAAUCUGUGAUGAUGGGGAGGAUUUUUCAUUGGUGGGUUCCCCCUAAGAGAAGUGGGAAAAUUCCACUAAUUUGAAAACCCAUUUUUCAAAGAUUACCAUUUCAAAGACUGUAAACUAAACCUCUGUUGAGUAGAGUGGGUGUGGGGGCUAGAUGUGCAGGUGUGCAUCUGUGAGAGGGGGACAGGGAGAGAAAGACUGAAGCUGGAAUAGGAAUCCUGAUGGCUGUUCUUGCUACUCUCUCCCACCUUAACGCUGCUGCAGUAGUGAUGCAGAGAUACCUGGGCUGGAUCAUAAAGAUGU